AGAUUGAACGCUGGCGGCAUGCCUAACACAUGCAAGUCGAACGGGAGUAGCAAUACUCUAGUGGCGGACGGGUGAGGAAUACGUAGGAAUUUGCCCUUAAGUGGGGGAUAACCCGGGGAAACCCGGAUUAAUACCGCAUGACCUCGAAAGAGCAAAGUGGGGGAUCGCAAGACCUCACGCUUUUGGAGAAGCCUACGUCGGAUUAGCUAGUUGGUGAGGUAAUGGCUCACCAAGGCGACGAUCCGUAACUGGUCUGAGAGGAUGAUCAGUCACACCGGAACUGAGACACGGUCCGGACUCCUACGGGAGGCAGCAGUGGGGAAUAUUGGACAAUGGGCGCAAGGCCUGAUCCAGCAAUGCCGCGUGUGUGAAGAAGGCCUUCGGUUGUAAAGCACUUUAAGGUUAGGGAAGAAAACGUACGCUCUAACACAGUGAGUCUUGACGGUACCGACAGAAUAAGCAACCGGACUAACUCUGUCGCCAGCACGCCGC
RNAcentral lists this ribosomal RNA (492 nucleotides) under uncultured soil bacterium. Its description in RNAcentral is "bacterial SSU rRNA". It matches the Rfam family "Bacterial small subunit ribosomal RNA", at positions 26 to 518 of the family's 1533-position model. The record is from RNAcentral.